GUGAGUUCAGACUCUUCAGGCUAUUUGGCACCCAGAUCUAUGGUGAGGUGUGACAUAUGGGAUGUAAAGUUUGAUGCCUGCUCCGACUCCAGUCUUGCUAACACACACGAAACCUUUGGUAAAUCAUGACCCUGCCUUGGGGAAAAGGGCAGUCUGGGAGAGCUUCUUCAAGGCAGCCUGGCUUCAAUGCAGUCUGGGGCAUGACUGAGAUAGGCAUACGUGGUGAGGAACUGGAGGGCAACUGGGUAAAGAGCUGCAGUGUGGGCAGAGGUGUAGUGUGGGUCACAUCGCGGAUAGCCACUGGCCAAAGCAGGGAACAGAGACAGAAUGAGGAAGAGCUCUGUGGGGAGGGUGGGGCACAGGGUGGAGAACCUUCAAAGUCCAAAGAGUAUGACUUGUUGGGAUUCAACGCUGUAGGCAGUAGGGAGCCAUGGAAGGCUCUUAGGUGGAGAAAUGACAGCCGGACAUUAGUGAGCAAGCCCUGUCUCCCUGAGCAGCAUGGGUGGUCCUCUGAGCACGCCAGGCACGAGUGUGCAGGGAGCUGGUGCAAAUGCCUCUGUGUGCGGGUGAGCAUCUGUGUUGUGACUCUGCCCACGCAUGUGCUUCAGCGUGCCGAGUGGCUGCACGCCCCAGAUCCAUGCGGCACGUGCCGGCCGGUGAGGGUGCUGGGCAUUGGGAGGUGGCGGGGAGGGCGACGUAUGCGUGUUGUUUGUGGGCAUGUGUGUGAGUGUGUGCAUGUGGGCCGUGGGGCCUCACAGCAUGUGUGUGCACACUCCGGCAUGUGCGUGUGUCCCCCACCCCCAGGCCUGCCCCACCCAUGCAUGUGACCUGCCAUGUGAUUUGAAGCUGUCUUUCAGAAUCACUAUCAGUGGCCCCUGAGGAGCGUCAGCCAUGGUAGGUACAUGCCUCACUGCCUGCUGCAUGAAUGGUCUGCCUGCCCCGCUGCCCCAGCUCCACACAGGGGGCAUACCUGGAGCCUCAGAGCCAGGCUCCCUGCCCCUCCCUUCUGGAGCUGCAGACUUGCUCUUUCCUCUUUCUGUCCUUGUGCUGCUGGCUGUCUCACUUUGCUCCCUGUGAGCCAUGGGACUCAGUGCCACUGCUCAAGGUCUCCAUGGCUGAGCCUGGGGGCUCUUACAACAGGCUCCAUGCCCAAGGUGGCAGUUGUGGAACCAUCAGAGAGGGCACAGAGCUCAUGGUUUAUGGUGUAGGGGCUGGGAGCUUGGAGGGGGUUGUGUGGGGGGCUGGACUCAGGCGGCCAGAGGCCUGGGAACAUCAUCCUGGGCACGCCGUACCUGUCACGCAGUCUGAGUCAUGCUGCCAGGGCAGGUAUCCAGCUCCCAGCCUGGGAGUGCCAAGAGCCAAAUCCACGGCAGAUUAGGGGUGAUAGUCACGGUCCCACGUCCUCUAUCUGUCAGCAAUCCAGUGGUGAUCUAGGAUAAAAGCCUGAGAGUCCUAUACACGCGGUCAUCCCACAACACACUUCAUAGGCCAUGGAAGGACACACAGCCCCCUUCCCUCCCUCCCAGGUACCAUGAUAGCUGCUAGCGUGCGACUGAAGGCAGGGUCCCUGGCCCCUGCUGAAGCACUACUGCUGGCCAGCAGGCUCACGCACCUUGGCCUGUUGCUUCUAGGGGUUGCCUGUGCUAUUCAGCCAAUAGUGCUGCUGGCCCAGCUGAGCUCCGCCUAGAGAGCUCACUUCCCUUUCCUGCCACGGAGUCUCCCUCUUCUGCUUUUCCCAGCAGGAAGGGCCCAGCCUCACCUAUGUAACCUGCAGCCCCCCGCCAACCAGUUAAGGCUCCCCUCUUAGACUUAGAAGUCUAUGGCCAAUGGCAUCCGGCUACCUGCCCUCCCUGCCUUCCCCAGGGUUCCUCAGAGGACCCUGGGCUUUCUGAUGGCCCAGAGGGGCCUCUGGCAUUCACUCCAGCCAGCCAUCCCUUAUAGCUCCACCAUUUUGGUUCAAUCAGUGUUCCUUCUCUAUCAGGUCUGGUGGCUGUUGGAUGGGGCUCUCCAAGCAAGAGGUGGCCCUGGGCCAGUGCGUUGGAAGACAUGGGGACCACAGAAGAGGGAAGCCCGAGGGAGCUGGCAUUGGUCUGAACUGUGGGUGGAUGGGUGGAUUGCCUGGGUUCCAUGAGACAGGCCAGCGUGUGUGGGGUAGGGAGGGCCGCCGCAGUCCCCAGGCACUACCUAUGAAGCUCCAGCUUCUCCCUCCAUCUCCCUCCCCUUUCCCUUCCAGCCCCUCUUUUCCAGGAACCUUGCCACGCCCACACCUACGCCCUCCCCUCCCCGGCCCUCCACAGCUGCUGCAGCGCACCCAUACUCUGCACUUGCCUCACCAGCUCUGGCUUUUCUCUAACCCGUUUUCUCUCUGCUUUCUCUCCAACUGCCAGCUGAUCGGGUCAGGCAAGUCCAUCCCGUCCUGAGAGCCCCAGGCCCCACUUCGACCUCUAAACACAUCCCUCCUCUUCUCAGAGACCUCCCUUUCCAAGCCUGCCUGGGCGGGUGUCCUGUGACUUGACAGUGGCUCCCCCAGCCCCAAAGCCAGCCCCCUUCUUCUGUGACUUAGUCUGUUGUAGUGGUGAGCUGACACGUCCAGGUGUGACCGUUGCUGAAAACUUGUGCCCCCUCUGUGGUAUGCCCCUGCCCUGUUCUAUAAAUAGCUAUAAAUUCUCUCUCUCACACACACACACACACACACACACACACACACACAUAUAUACAUAUAUAUACGUGGCCAACUGCCUCACCUCUAGCACUGGGAAUCAGUCCCGUGCUGUGCUUGUGGAAUCUUGUAGCCCAGCAAGAGGAAGCUGUCUCCUGACAUCGCCCCUCCAAAGUGCACCACCUCCAGUGAGCUUCCGGGACAUGCGCGGCCUGUGGACAGCCAGCCCCCGCCAUCCCUCCCGCCCUUCUGGCCAAGCAUGGCGGUGCUGUGCAGGCAGCUGUGUGGCCUGACAGUCUCUACCAGUCCUGCUGUCCCUUGGCUGAGAAACCCAUUUCUGGAUGACAGAGAAUGUGUCCUCUGCUGGCUGUGUUCUCUAUGGAGCUCAGGGGAUGGAAAAGGCCAAGCCAUUUUUAGGGUGCUGUUGGGAGCAGUGAAAAGGUCACACCCUUUUCAAGGGACACUUUUCCUGGAAAGUCCCUGGAGCUUAGCUGGCUCUUACCCUGUGAAGCCAGCUCUGGCCACUAAGGGACAGGGCCCUGAACUCAGCCUGGAGGGAACCUGCGGGGCAGCCGGCACUCUGGAGGGACAGACAGGCCACCCGGUGCAGACAGGAGAGGGAGGCAGGGGGACAGAACGGAAGACACCUGGGGUGGAUGGAAGUCAGUGCCCUUGGGCACUGGUAUCUGUCUUCCCUGCCACAGCUAGAUCAGGCUUCUCAACCAGUUGGCUGUCAGGGCCAGAGUGUACUCCGUAGGCGCCAUGGCAGUCCCCAUGAAAUCCACCAGGUGUCACCAGGCAGCAUACAGGUAACAGGCCUGGAAGGUCCCCAACAGCCCAGCUGGACAUGCUGAGACACUCUGGGGCUCCUCAUUCAGUGGGACAAACUGCAGGACCCAGUGAGGGAAAUGGGAACAUACCAGGCCGAGCAGUAUGGCUAAAUCCAUUUAUUCCAAAAUCAAAAGCAAAAAACAAAAAACAAAAAACAGGAGUCCCAUCACCAGGCAGCCAUGACCCCAUCCCCGCCUGCUUCCUCGCUCCUAUGCUAGCAAUAAAUAAGUUUCCCAGCCGCGAAUAAUUAUAAGAACCUCUUCCUCAUAUGCCAGCUGCAACCUCCGCUAGGUACGAUACAGAAUGUUACACAGCUACAGUAUGUACACGGGGGAAGGGGGGCCACCCCCAGCAGCCUGUGCCCUGGCCUGGUCUACAGUUAACUCCACUGUCCCGCCUCAGCUGCCUCUCUGAGUAAGAAGAUGGGAGCCCCCCUGAGGGAAAAGUUGCUUUGGUGAGAGUAAGAAGGCCGUCAGACCUCCUCCAAACAAACCAACUCCACCAACCUCUGGCUCUUAAAUAACAAACAUCAUCAUCCAGAAAUGUAAGGACUCAGCCUUGGUCAAGGUGGUAAAGGGUCUGUUUGUCUCCCUCCAUUAGACAAGGGUCUUGUCUUGCUACCCUAAUGGUAAAGGGCUGACUGGGGAGGGGUUGUAGGGACAUGGUGGGGGUGAAGACUCCAGACCCACUUCUCCAGGCUUAUGCUGACAGGGGCCUGCUUUUAUUUAUUUUUAUUUUUAUCCCAUGACUUUUUUUAAAUCCUGUAACUAAUUUUUCAUAACUUUUUAAAAUAACUUUUCAUAAAACUUUUUUUUUACUUUUUUUCCACAACUUUUUUUUGCCACUUUUCCACAGUAUUUUUUUAUCCUGUAACUUUUUCAUCCCACAACUUUAAUUUCUGUUAACUUUUUUAGUUUGUGUUCUUUUAAUAAACACACUUACAUAGUUACAA
RNA transcript from Homo sapiens (human), 4442 nucleotides. It is a transcript of the gene named dynamin 1 pseudogene 41, with no coding region annotated. NCBI's taxonomy places the organism in Eukaryota, Metazoa, Chordata, Mammalia, Primates, Hominidae. The record is from RefSeq and is marked validated.